AAUCCCUCUGGAGCAUUCAGUGACAACGUCGACUUUGAAGUUGCACUGACCUGGCCAGCCCUGCCACUUACCAGGUUGGGCUGUGGCUUGCCUUUUCACUUCUUGUGUCCUGUUUAAGAAAUAUCUGCUAUCCCAAGCAUCUGGCAUCUUUCUUGACAUACGUAGCAGUUGCUUUUUGACAGCUUGCUUCUGGAGUGAAUGAAUAAAUUAAUAAAUUUAUUCAUUUGAUAUUCAGUGACAUGUGAUAUUCAGUGAUCCAUUUUGCAGAUUGCAAACUCCUAGAGAAGGGCUCAACAGUGAGUGUUGAGGCUGCACAGAGGAGGAAGGUAGCACAAUGAUGGAAGGCUUCCUAAAGAGAUUGAGCCUCGUAUUUCAUAUCUGCCCCUGGCCUAAUGUUUGCUUACAGAAUGAGCUCAAUGAAUAUUGUUAAAUAACACUAACAAAGUUGACCUUAGAAUUGGAGUGCCCGGGUUAGAACCUUGCUGGUACCACCUGCUUACUGCAUGCUUCUGAUGUGAGUUCAGGAGAAGCCACUGGCAAGGACAGCAAAGAACAGGAGAACACUCUAGCUUCCCUGAUAGCAUUCAAGGUGCUGUCCAAAAGUUUCACUCUUGUCACCCAGGCUGGAGUGGAAUGGCACAAUCAUGGCUCACUGCAACCUCUGCCUUUCCGGUUCAAGCAAUUCUCCUGCCUCAGCCUCCCCAGUAGCUGGGACUACAGGCAUGCACCACCAUGCCCGGCUAAUUUUGUAUUUUUAGGAGAGACGGGGUUUCACCUUGUUGGUCAGGAUGGUCUCGAACUCCUGACCUCAGUUGAUCCACCCUCCUCAGCCUCCCAAAGUGCUGGGAAUACAGGUGUGAGCCACCGCGCCCAGCCUAAUUUUUCUUACGUGAGAUACAGUUUACUAAAGUCCACCUUCCACUUCUUCCUUCGUAUAUACAGAGAUGGCAUUUCCUAGCUUCUCUAGCAAUUAAUUGUGGCCAUGAGCUUUGGGCAGCGGAAUGUGAAUGGAUGUGAUGUAGCCACUUCAUAUGUGUUUCUCUGUGUCCUUUCCCCUUCUAGCUGACUGUGAUGGCACCCUCCAGACAGACAGCGAUGCCACAUGUUCAAGAUGGCAGAAUCACUAACAGCUUCAAUUCCUGAAUGACUGCAGAGCAAAAUUUCUUACCCGCAACAUACACUCUAUUUUCAGCCUCCCUGGACUGUUACAUAAUGAUACAUAAAAAUAUUUCUUGUGUUGAGGCAUCCCAAAUUUGAUCUAUUUGUCAUCACAGUUUAUCCUACGAAUAUAUUUCUGAUCCAAA
RNAcentral lists this long non-coding RNA (1304 nucleotides) under Pongo abelii (Sumatran orangutan). RNAcentral's name for it is "lincRNA". Lineage: Eukaryota; Metazoa; Chordata; Mammalia; Primates; Hominidae. The record is from RNAcentral.